GCAACAAUGGAACACUGUGGAGGGGAGUGCACAGUGCAGUGCUAGCUCUAUCUCUUGUGCCCACCACACACAGCUGAACUGAGACCCACGCCUAUUACAUGCUGUGAAAGUCUCUGGUGAUUCAAAGGAAAGGAAAAAAAAAGUCUCUUCCUCCUCUCCCAUUCCUGAGGCAAACAGGGCAUCUAAGGAAUGCCUAGGAAUGGUCCCAGUUUUCAUCAUGUGACUACUGAAAAUAUGAGGUUAAAGCAACAGAAAUUGAAUAGAAGCUUCUCACUGGGCUCGAGUCGUCUGUAGUUCUUGGCAAUAGGUACAUGUCUUUUCAGUGAAUAAGAACAGUUAAACAGUCAUGGUUACUCCUCAGAGAAAUCAGCCAGCUCCUGGAAGGCCUGAGAAUCCAGAUGGAAAAUAAGAGCUCUUGGAUCAAUUCUGCCUGCUUUUAGAGGAACCUGAAAUUCUAACUUUCAAGAAGGAAUAAAUCUUAGUCCUAAUAAGAAGCAUUUAAGUACAGGCAGAAAGAAGCUCAGACUUACCACUCCUGAACUGCAGCUACAGAAUGCCUUGAGGAUUAUUUGAGUCUCCAGUAAGUGCCAGAAGAGAGCUUAGUUUAACAAACUUACUGCUGUUUAUUUGUGAGUUUUGUUGGUUUCUCAUUCACUUCUAAAUAAAUCCAGUCGU
This is a long non-coding RNA of Numida meleagris (helmeted guineafowl), 675 nucleotides long. RefSeq lists it as uncharacterized. The record is from RefSeq and is a predicted model, not a curated record. The transcript is spliced from 5 exons. Lineage: Eukaryota; Metazoa; Chordata; Aves; Galliformes; Numididae.